CCCUUAGAUGUUCUGGGCCGCACGCGUGCUACACUGAGUAAUUCAAUGGGUAAGGGGACGCUAGAGCAUUACCUAAUCUUGAAAUUUGCUCGUGAUGGGGAUCGACGGUUGCAAUUUUCCGUCGUGAACGAGGAAUACCUUGUAGGCGCAUGUCAUCAUCAUGCGCCGAAUACGUCCCUGCCCUUUGUACACACCGCCCGUCGCUCCUACCGAUUGAGUGAUCCGGUGAGGCUCUGGGACCUGGACGGAAAGAGCGUUUCGCUUGUUCUGUUUGGGAAACUUGGUCGAACCUUAUCAUUUAGAGGAAGGAGAAGUCGUAACA
RNAcentral lists this ribosomal RNA (322 nucleotides) under uncultured eukaryote. RNAcentral describes it as "partial 18S ribosomal RNA". It matches the Rfam family "Eukaryotic small subunit ribosomal RNA", at positions 1470 to 1796 of the family's 1831-position model. The record is from RNAcentral.